UACGUAGGUGGCAAGCGUUGUCCGGAUUUAUUGGGUUUAAAGGGUGCGUAGGCGGUUUUUUAAGUCAGUGGUGAAAUACGGCAGCUUAACUGUCGAGGUGCCAUUGAUACUGGGAAACUUGAGUACUGAUGAGGUAGGCGGAAUGGACGGUGUAGCGGUGAAAUGCUUAGAGAUCGUCCAGAACACCGAUAGCGAAGGCAGCUUACUAAGGAGUAACUGACGCUGAGGCACGAAAGUGUGGGGAUCAAACAGG
Molecule: ribosomal RNA, 253 nt
Filed under: uncultured bacterium
Lineage: Bacteria
Description: partial 16S ribosomal RNA
Rfam family: Bacterial small subunit ribosomal RNA
Source: RNAcentral